RNAcentral lists this ribosomal RNA (254 nucleotides) under uncultured bacterium. RNAcentral describes it as "partial 16S ribosomal RNA". It matches the Rfam family "Bacterial small subunit ribosomal RNA", at positions 524 to 776 of the family's 1533-position model. The record is from RNAcentral.
UACGUAGGGACCAAGCGUUGUUCGGAUUUACUGGGCGUAAAGGGCGCGUAGGCGGCGCGGUAAGUCACUUGUGAAAUCUCUGAGCUUAACUCAGAACGGCCAAGUGAUACUGCAGUGCUAGAGUGUGGGAGAGGGAUGCGGAAUUCCAGGUGUAGCGGUGAAAUGCGUAGAUAUCUGGAGGAACACCGGUGGCGAAGGCGGCAUCCUGGGCCACGACUGACGCUGAGUGAGCGAAAGCCAGGGGAGCAAACGGG